GGUUGUCCUCUUAAGAUCCUGUAAGAUAUUGCGUUAGAAUAAUAUUCCCUUUUCCGUCCCUUUUCCGAAAUACAUUAGUCUUUAGUCCUUUAUUCGAUCGUGUAUGAGUGUGAACUUAUAUCUGUCGACUUAUAUAUAUAUUUAUAUAUAUAUAUAUAUGCAUAUGUAAGCAUUUUACUUUCUACCCACAAUUUGCAACUCUGAAAAAUUCUAAUAGGUUAUGGAGCCAGAUAAUCAGCGAUCCAUCAUCGAUCAUCAAUGAUCGUCAUGAAGGAAAAAGAAAAAAAGAGGAGUAAGUAGAAAAAGAAUAAAAAUUAGAAGAAC
Molecule: long non-coding RNA, 324 nt
Organism: Vespa mandarinia (Asian giant hornet)
Lineage: Eukaryota; Metazoa; Arthropoda; Insecta; Hymenoptera; Vespidae
Source: RefSeq, a predicted model, not a curated record